This 205-nucleotide ribosomal RNA is filed under the name Sus scrofa (pig). RNAcentral's name for it is "partial small subunit ribosomal RNA". The record is from RNAcentral. Lineage: Eukaryota; Metazoa; Chordata; Mammalia; Artiodactyla; Suidae.
CAAACUGGGAUUAGAUACCCCACUAAUAGUUACAUAACAAAACUAUUCGCCAGAGUACUACUCGCAACUGCCUAAAACUCAAAGGACUUGGCGGUGCUUCACAUCCACCUAGAGGAGCCUGUUCUAUAAUCGAUAAACCCCGAUAGACCUUACCAACCCUUGCCAAUUCAGCCUAUAUACCGCCAUCUUCAGCAAACCCUAAAAA